This is a non-coding RNA of Paramisgurnus dabryanus, 334 nucleotides long. The record is from RefSeq and is a predicted model, not a curated record. Lineage: Eukaryota; Metazoa; Chordata; Actinopteri; Cypriniformes; Cobitidae.
GUCGACCACAUGACUUCACUUUAUGGCAGUGUCCAUCUUCACCCUGGGGACAGAAUGACUGUGGUCCAAAUAAGGUUGUUAAAAUUACCUGUUCAGUUUCAGAGGAAAAGACCCCUCAGAGUCAUCUGUCAUGCUCUACCUCCGCAUCUCCUUACCAGAGACAAUGUUCAAAUCAUCUUCCUCUCAGACUGAGUGGAGGGAAGGGUUUGUGUUCGGGGAGACUGGAGGUUUAUCAUAACUCUGUGUGGGGUUCAGUCUGUGAUGAUCUGUGGGACAUCAGAGAUGCUCAGGUGGUCUGCAGGCAGCUGGGUUGUGGAGCAGCAUUGAGUGCUGA